Molecule: ribosomal RNA, 253 nt
Filed under: uncultured bacterium
Lineage: Bacteria
Description: partial 16S ribosomal RNA
Rfam family: Bacterial small subunit ribosomal RNA
Source: RNAcentral
UACGGAGGGUGCAAGCGUUGUCCGGAUUCAUUGGGUUUAAAGGGUGCGCAGGCGGGCCAUUAAGUCAGGGGUGAAAGACGGUUGCUCAACAAUCGCAGUGCCUUUGAUACUGGUGGUCUUGGGUGACCUUGAGGUAGGCGGAAUGGGUGGUGUAGCGGUGAAAUGCAUAGAUACCACCCAGAACUCCGAUUGCGAAGGCAGCUGGCUACGCAUAUAUUGACACUGAGGCACGAAAGCGUGGGGAUCAAACAGG